AGGGCACCACCAGGAGUGGAGCCUGCGGCUUAAUUUGACUCAACACGGGAAAACUCACCCGGCCCGGACACUGGAAGGAUUGACAGAUUGAGAGCUCUUUCUUGAUUCAGUGGGUGGUGGUGCAUGGCCGUUCUUAGUUGGUGGAGUGAUUUGUCUGGUUAAUUCCGAUAACGAACGAGACUCUAGCCUAUUAAAUAGAUCGUUGGCUUACAAACGCCGGCGAGACUUCUUAGAGGGACAGGCGGCGAUUCAGCCGCACGAAACAGAGCAAUAACAGGUCUGUGAUGCCCUUAGAUGUCCGGGGCCGCACGCGCGCUACACUGAAGUGAUCAGCGUGCAUUUUGAAACCUACUCUGUCAAGAGUGGGGAACCCAAUGAACCUUCUUCGUGAUUGGGAUAGGGGAUUGUAAUUAUUCCCCUUGAACGAGGAAUUCCCAGUAAGCGCGAAUCAUAGGUUUGCGCUGAUUACGUCCCUGCCCUUUGUACACACCGCCCGUCGCUACUACCGAUUGAAUGUUU
RNAcentral lists this ribosomal RNA (519 nucleotides) under uncultured eukaryote. RNAcentral describes it as "SSU rRNA". It matches the Rfam family "Eukaryotic small subunit ribosomal RNA", at positions 1161 to 1698 of the family's 1831-position model. The record is from RNAcentral.